GUCAAUCUUUCCCACUCAGAAAAAUUACAGAAACUACCAAGUUUCACUCUCUCUCUUCAAUCUCCACUUCAGAGCAAAAUUCUUUCCUUCUUUUAGGAAAUGGGUGGCUAAUUCUAGAGUUCUGUGGAGCCUGUAGCUCCCUUCCUUCCUUGGAUCUUUGGGGCCUGGUGUCCUGAUCCUUGGCAAGGGUUGGAAGUGGGGCAGGAAGAGGUUUAGGGACUAAUGGUAGGGUAUUAGAUUCUUCUUAUUCCAGUUCCAAAUCUAUGCUGGACCUAUAUUGUUCAGGAGGCGAGCAACUACAAGGGGAUGGGGAAAUGGUACCGGAUCUUGGGGUUGGGGGUAGCAUCAGUGUUUUCCCUAUGGUUAAUACCCUUGACAUUCCAGGAUUAUCCCCAAGGCUCUUCUAAAGUCUGCAAUCUCCGCAGAAGUUCCGAAAGAUGCUUUCAGUGUGCCCGCCGGUUGAGUACCCCUCCUUAAUUUGAUCAUCGCUUCGAAUUGACCUUGGAUCCCCUUCUGGAACCAGACAGCAAACUCCCCACUGAUAUACUGGUUUGGUGGAUGAGGCAUAAGAAUUUCACCAAGUUCCAUCUGGCCAGGACGGAAUUGUUUAGCGUGAUCUCCAGUCCCUAGCCAGAACAGAGAAGACCCUGCUACAAGACCUGUGCUAUGUAUGAAUCAGGCCCCUGGCCAGGAUUUUGAGAAGGACACAGGGACUGGAUCUCACAUCUGACGUACCCAGAGAGUGCUCAAGACCUGUUCCCAGAGAUUCAUUUGCUGCUGGUGCCAUUUGAAUCAGUGGAUAUGGCGUGGGUUGCUACGUCAGUGGUGGAGGGAUCCCCUCACACCCAAUGGUCUUGGUGGACAUCCCCAGGUUCCUCAACUACAUUCAGGAGAACUGGCAAAAAUAGUAUGGUCAUUUCUGUUCCAAUGAAUGCAUUGCCAUCUUCUAUGCUUUGCAUACAUGAGAUCAGGUCUCCUUCUUUGGAUUCGGGGCAGGCGUCAACGAGUACUGGCACCAUUACUGGAAAGAGAAAAGGUUCAUCCUCCAGAGAGAAAAGAUCCCCAACAAAAUGUUUGGGGCUAAAAUUAUCCGCCCACUUGAACUCAAAGGGAGAGCUAGAAACUGUUGUGACUUGGCCUUCACACCUUGACAAAUCAUCUGGAAAAAGUUAUGUACUAAAAGGGACUGUGUGGAAGAGGCCCUGACAGAGCCAAUAGCUCUGAGGCCUGUAGCAGGGGCUGUACCAUGAGAUGGGGAUAGAAAAUACCUAGGGAGAACUCAAUAGCAGGGUCAAUAUUUCUAAGUCAUUUGAAUAAACAUCCCACUAGGACAAA
This is a long non-coding RNA of Monodelphis domestica (gray short-tailed opossum), 1335 nucleotides long. RefSeq lists it as uncharacterized. The record is from RefSeq and is a predicted model, not a curated record. Lineage: Eukaryota; Metazoa; Chordata; Mammalia; Didelphimorphia; Didelphidae.